This 11303-nucleotide long non-coding RNA is filed under the name Vitis vinifera (wine grape). RNAcentral describes it as "long non-coding RNA (VVIN_LNC002539)". Lineage: Eukaryota; Viridiplantae; Streptophyta; Magnoliopsida; Vitales; Vitaceae. The record is from RNAcentral.
UCAGAACAACUCUUCUCCACUGCUCUCUUAUAGUAACUAGUUUUUUUCACUCCAUACCAAAAGAGCCUAGAAAAAAAAAUGAUGAAGCAGUUGCUCUCCCCAGCACUUCUUGUUCUGAUCUUCUUCCUCCUCUGCACCACAACUUCUGGUCAGUCUUCAGCACCAGCUGCGGCACCUUCUGGUCCUUCAGUUUCCUCAGGCUCUUCAUCAGGUCCUCCCGACAUCACUGCAAUUCUCAGAAAAGCUGGUAAGUUUACUACCUUCAUUGGGCUACUAAAGAGCACCCAGGUGGAUGACCUAAUCAACAACCAACUGAAAGCCAACCUGGGCUUCACCAUAUUUGCCCCAACCGAUAGUGCCUUUUCAGACCUCAAAUCAGGUACACUAAACUCAUUCACUGAUGAGCAGAAGACAGCACUGACAAAAUUCCACAUAGUGCCUUCUUUCCUGACUAUCUCACAGUUCCAAACUGUUAGCAACCCGGUGAACACAGUGGCAGGUGAUUCUGUGGAGUUUCCACUGAAUGUGAUAAGCAACGGAACUCAGGUGAACAUCACAACAGGGCUUGUCAAUACAACAGCGGACAGCACAGUACACAGCGAUGGUCAGCUUGCUGUGUAUGAGAUAGGCGAGGUGCUCCUUUCACAAGGUAUCCUCAAGCCUCUUGCAGAAGCUCCCCUAUCUCCCAAACCUAAGAAGGCUUCUCCUCCUAAUGCAUAUGCUCCUUCAAAGUCGACCGGCGCUUCUGCUAUUUCUUCUGAUGCUACGUGUCUUUCACCCUAUGCACCGACCGUAGCAUCCGUUGGAGUGGCUGUUCUUGCGGCAGUGCGCUUGUGCCUAUGAACUGAGUAUUGAUUGAUGAAUGACGAUGGUGUGAUCGAUCUGCAGUGUGCUUUUGCUGUCAUGAUUUUCGCUUAAUCAAAUUAUUACUUUGUAUUUGUCCUUGAAUUAGGAAAAAUGGGAUUAAUAAUACAAGGCUACUUAAUUUUGGUUUCAUAUUAAAAAUAUUGGUAAAUUGAGGCUUUCGCAAGGGAUGGUCAAGGAAAGGAGAAACUUUUGGUCUUUUGCUUUGGUGUCGAAUACUUUUUUUAAUUAGAUUAAAUUGAAAUCUUGGUAAAAAGUGGCUAUGUUUGAUUUUGAAAAAUAGUAGGUAAAGAAAAAAAGAUAAAGAAAAUGUUUUCUUUUUCUAUGAAAAAUGAAAAAAAAAAGUUAAAUAUAAUUAAAAUUAUGAAGAAAUUUGAAUUUUUUCAAAUUAGUUAAUUUAUAUAUAGAAGAGUUAAAUCCGUUAAAAAAAAAAAUAAUAUAUAAAUUUUUUUUAUAAAAUUUAUAUCUAUUUUUUCAUUUUCCUUUACUUUUUAUCUUAAUUUUAUUUCCCUCAUAUUUUCCUUCAAACUUUUUGGAACCAAACAUAAUCUUAAAAUAUUAAAUACUAAUUGGGUAUUAAUAAACCCAAAAUUUUCUAAUUACUUUUGUAAUUAAGUUAAGUGACAAUAAUUAAUAAUUUUUUUUAAAAAAUAGUGUGACAUGUGAUAGAUAGGUCAUGAUAAGUAGUGUAAGGUUAAAAAUGAUAACUGGAUAUUCUAAAAUAUUGAUGCUUGUUGGAAGGCCUUCCCAUAUGUAACACAUGUCUGUUAAUCCCUUUGUUAAAGAUUGGAUUAUGAUAGUGUCACGGCCAGGAUGAUAAAGCCGAAAGGCCUAGAGUAUCAUUAAUCAGUGGGGUUUGUUUUCAUAAUUUAACUUGGAUCUGAAUCAUGUCAAUUUGUUUUUGUUGGUACCUAAAUCAUGUUAAAUCUUCUAGUUUUUAAAUCCAAAAAAAGAAAAAAAAAAUUUAAGGAUUAUGGAUUAAAUGUUUUAAUCUUAAAAAUAAUUAUCACAUUUAUUUAUUUAUUUUUUUGCUUUGUAUAAUUAAAAUAAGAUAUUUAAAAAUUAAUAAUUUAAUAAAAUAGCAAUUUAACAUAUAUCCAAAAUACCAAAACCUAUUAUAAUAAUAAAAAAUUUAAAGAUUAAUAAUUUAAACACCUUGCUAUUACAUAUUACUAAUUAAAUACCUAAAAAUAUUAAAUUUAUUAACAUAGUAAAAAUAUAGAAAAAAUGACAAAAUUAAUUAAAUGCUUGAAGAGCCUAUUUGCAAUUUGGCUUAGAAGAAGCUUUUGUAUAAACAUGUGUAAAAUGUCUUAAAUCUUGAAAAAAAAUUUACAUCGUUAAAAAUAAUAUGAAAGUAAAAGAAAUAUUAACUUUUUCCCUUUGAAUAAAAUUGUCUUAUCAAUUAAAGAUGGAUAUAAAUUGAGCUUAAAUUUAUCCAGGCUAAUGUCCAUGAAUAUACCGGUAACCGCAAAUUUAGCAAUUUAAUUAGUUGACAAAUCAUAGUAAUAAGGAUUGGAGCCCCGAGGGGAGCAUGAACUGCUGUCUCCCACUGCCACUAACCAUGUCCAUGUCUUCAGUAUCGUCCCCUUGCAGAAAGGGAUGCGUAUCUUUUUUUCCUUCCUUGCUAAGCAAACUAUACUAGAUGUUUUAACAAUAUGUAACACCCCAUCUGUGUCUUCCUCUACCUUACUAAUAUAGAUGGGAUAUAUAUUGAGGUUCUCAUGCCAACUUCGAAAAGCAACCUUUCACCGAAAUUCAUGCUCACUUCCCAUCUCACCCCACUCAAUAAAAGCCCCAUUAGUUCCCCCCUCCAUAUUCAUCCAAAACAACCAUUCUCCACUUCUUUCUCGGAGCAGCAAGUUUCUCCACUCAAUAUCAGAAGAGCCUAGAAAAAUAUGAUGAAGCAGCUUUUCUCCUCCACUCUUCUUGGGAUGAUCUUCCUCCUCUGCAGCUCAUCAAUUUCUGGUCAGUCUUUGACACCGGCUCAAGCACCUUCAGGUUCUACCACAACUUCUGGUCAGUCUUCACCACCAACUCAAGCACCUUCAGGUUCUUCAUCUCCUUCAGGUCCCGCUGACAUCAUUGCAGUUCUCACAAAGGCCGGUAAGUUUACUACCUUCAUUGGGCUACUAAAGAGCAGCCAGGUGGAUUCCCUGAUCAAUACCCAACUCAAGAAACCAGGCAAUGGCUUCACCGUUUUUGCACCAACCGAUAGUGCCUUUUCAAACCUGAAAACAGGUACUCUCAACUCAUUCACAGAUGAGCAGAAGGCCGCACUGACAAAAUUCCACAUAAUACCUUCUUUCCUUACCAUCGCACAGUUCCAAACUGUGAGCAACCCGGUGCACACAUCGGCAAGUGGUGAUAGUGAGGAGUUUCCACUGAAUGUGAUAGGCAAUGGAACUCAGGUGAACAUGACAACAGGACUUGUGAAUACAACAGUGGACAGCACAGCAUACAGUGAUGGUCAGCUUGCUGUGUAUGAGAUCCCCCAGGUUCUCCUUUCACAAGGUAUCCUCAACCCUCAAGCACCCGCACCAGCUCCUCUACCACCGAAGCCUAAGAAGGCUGCUCCUCUUAAUGCACUUUCUCCCUCAAGGUCGACCACCGUUUCUGUUGAUUCUUCUGGUGCGACAGGUCUGCUCCACUAUGCACCAACUGUUGCAUCCAUUGGAGUGGCUGUUCUUGCGGCAAUGUCCUUAUCCCUAUGGACUGAGUGGCAGAUUGAUGGAUGGUGAUGUGUUGAUCAUGCGUGCAUGAGUGUAAUUGUGUUGUCAUGAUUUUUACUUAAUAAAAUCUUUACCUUAUCUUUGCACUGAAAUUUGAAAAAUUGACAUAAUAAGAGGGUAUCUUUUAUUUCAUGACAAAAAUACUGACAAAACAAAAAACAACAAAGGUCCCAUGGCCGUUGAUUCUGGAGUUAAGUGCCAAAGUGAAAUCGCGAAUCAAAAAAAGUUAUCACAUGUAGGCCUCCUUCCAGAUUUAUUAUAAAAAAAAUAUCAUGUAUGUUCUUAAAAUGAGGUUGAAACUGCAUUCAAAAGAUGCCAUCUUCAACAUUAAAAAUGUGAUUUUAGUUUGAAAAUAAACUUAGUCAUAUUUUGAAUAGUUAAAUAAAAAUAUGAUUUCUAUACAACUUAACAAAUGAAACUAAGAUACAAGUCUACAAGACUAAGUUCCAAUAUAUAUAGAAAUACAAAAAAAGAAAAAGACUUGUUCUUGAUUCUUGUCAUUAAUAUGAGACCAAGCUUUUAGUGACAUGAAAUAAAUCUAAAGUAAGAUAUUUAAUUUGCACUGACCAUGACCAUGAUUUUGUACACAAAGCCUUUAUAAGUUAGAUAUAUAACUUAUAAAAAGAAAAAGGAUUAAAAAAAAAAGGGAUCUGAAAAAUCCAAAACAGUGUAAACAUAGUUUACUAUGCAUGAUUGUCAAACAAAAUAACAGAAAAAAUCUAAAGAGAUCCUAAAAGUAAAGGAGGAGCUCUGCUUCUCUUCUAUUAUGAAUCAACAUUCUAAAAGUAGUGUCCUCGCAUUCAAAGAAUUACAAUGUACAGUGUAUUGGAACACUACAUUUCUACUCUUAUCAUUAACAUUCUUAUCAAGUAGGAUUCUAUUCUUUUUCAUGGGAUGGACCUCGGAACCUCUUACAUCCUCAUCCCAGUCCUUGUCACUUCCACUUGAGGAAUUAAGUAGGUAUCGGAUCAGCUAAACAGAAAUGGAACUGCCAAUUGAUGGAUGAAUUUGACAAAGACCCAGCCUCUCCAUGCUACACUUUCCAUGGCCGCUUUUAGGAACAAUAAAAAAAAGGAUCGGCAUCAUUGUCUCACAGAGUUUACAUAUCCUGCUGUUUCUUCCUGCUUUACUAAGCAACCCUUUUAGGUAUUCUAACUAUAUGAAAACCCACUACUACAAAAAACUAAAUUAAUGGCGCUCUAUUUCUUGGCGCUUAUAAAAAAUGUCAUUAUUUGUGACCAAAAUUAGUAAGCAUUGACGCUUGUAUAUCAUUGGCGUUUUACAAGGAGAAGCAAUGGCGUUUUUAAAUAAUGACCCUUUUAAAAACGUUAUUGUAUGCUGAAUUUUAAAUAAUGACACUUUUCCAAGUGUCAUUGUUGGACAAGUUAAAUAGUGGCAGUCUUUCAAAGUAUCAUGUCCAGUUUCUUUAUAUAAAAACUCCUUAUUUCUUAAUUUAAAAAGCCUAACACUCUAGCCCACAAUCACACCCAACAAACUCACUGCCCGACACCCACACUCAAACCCUAACCUCCAUGGAUGACCCUCUUUGAAACCCUAACCCUCUCCAAAACUCUAACCCUGAAAUUUAUGAGGCCUCUGCUACUAUUUGACUGAUUGUGGAGGAGGCAUAUCCGUGUUUGGCCACCAUUAGCUGACUGGUAAAUCUCUUUCUCUCUCAAAAUAUUUUCGAUUUUAUAGUUUAGGGUUUUUUCUUUUGGGUGUUUAUGAUUUUUUAUGGGGUGUUUGUUAUGGCUAAAUAUCUAAUCUGAUAAAUAUAACAAUUUGUUUGUGUUUGUUUUAUUUUUAGAAACCCAUUCCUUCAUGUUGUUUGGCAUUCGACUGCAAUUUUUGGCAUUGACACCUAAUGUAAGCUCUAACCUGUAUCUAUUCAUAUCCAGAUUUUGUAUUAUUGUUUUUUUUUCUUUUUGUAAAUUUUGGGUUUCAAUGUACCUGGAAUGAAAUGAUGCAUGUUGCUCUAUUUUUCGGGAAGUGGUGGCUGGAACUCUGUUUUUGGAAAAUGGCAGCUAGAUUCUCUUCUCAUACACACAGAAUUAAUGUUGUUAAUUUGUGGGAAAUGAAUUUUCUGCAAUGGGUUUUGCAACUAAUUGCAAAAAUAAAAAUUUCUUACCAGAUUUUUGUACUAAAAUCUCAAUUAUGAAAUAAGAUUUCUAAAUUUGUACUAAACCCAUAAUUUAAAAAUGCAGUUUCAAUUGGUAGUAUAUCAAGCGUGUUAUCCAGCAACGUCUAAAUAAUUAAAAAAAUUUAUAGUGCUUUUUCCAUGUCAGUAAGUUGUCUAUGUUGUGUAUUCACUCAAAGCAUGAUAUGGAAUCUCUUACCAAAUGUGCCCAUGCCUUAUUGUCCUUAAUCUCUUACCAAAUGUUGUGUAUUCACUCAAAAUUAUGAAUGCUUCCACCACGUGGGAGCUAGUGGGGUUUCUUUGCUCAUUUUCUAUUGUACCUUUCUUUAGGGGUUGACUUUGGCAUGAAAAGAGAAAAAAAAAAAAAAAUCUGGUUUUGAACUUAGAAUACUUUAAUUUAAAUAAAUAUGUAGAAUUGGUAGUUUUCUUUAUGAGAGGUUUGCUAUAGUAAGAUGUAUUCCAGCUAAGAGGUUUAGAACUCUAUAAAUUAAAAAUAAAAUAUUCAUUUCUAUAUGUUUAUUAUCCCAUCCUUAAUGUGGGCCCAAGUGAAUAGGAACUUUGGGAAAUCCCAUCCCAUUUGUCUUGUUAUCUAGAUUAUCUAUUUUUUUUUUUUUUGAUCAAUUAUAGUAUAAAUGAAACUAAAAUGCUUGAGUACUAUACUUCCUUAUGAAUGAUCAAAUCCUUGUAAAAGAGAACCUUAGAAUUUUAAAAUAAAAAUAAUUAAAUAAGAUUAUGUUUGGUUGUACUUUUAUUUAUUUAUUUUUAUUGCUUUUCAAAUUAAAUAUACAAAAUUUGAUUUUUUAUAAAAGCAUGUCUAAUACCUAUAGUAUUUUUUAUUAUACUCUUUGCAAAAAACAAAUUUGAGAAUGAUUUUCCAAAAACAAAUAAACAAAAAAAAAAGGUUUUACGUGUUGAAUACAUUAUAAGGAAGAAAAAAUAAAUAAUAGUAAAGAAAAUUCAUGAUUUUUAAUUUUUUUUUUAUGGAAGAUCUCAUUGCAAUUAUUUCCUUAUGGUCAUCCCUUUGGAGAAGAUAAUAUUUUAAUUAGGGUAAUAUAUGUGCUUUGAAUUUGAUUUUGUUCCAUAAUUUUUAAAAUUAUAUGCAAGAAACAAAUAGCCAAGGAUAUUUUAUUUGAUCAAAUAUAGAUUCUAAGCAAGCAAAUAAUUAAGGAUGACUUUAUUUUAGAAAUAGAUAGCAAUCAUCUAUAUAUAUAUUUGCCCAUUAUUACCUUAGUAAGAGUUUCAAUAGUUCUUUACUAUUAAUUAUAUUGACUAUGCUAUUAAUUAUGCUUGUUGUACGGUUAAAAUAAAGUUGGAAUUCAAAAAACAAAUAAAAAUAUUUAGUAACCAAAAUUAUCAACUUCAAUUCAUUGAAAGUCUUACCAAGAAAAUAUAAUUUUCAUAAAACAAAAGUCCAUUUGACCCCUCCAUUUGCUAUUGCUAUAUCAAUUUUAAUGCAAUUGUAAUCACAAAAUAUUAAAAUAAGAAAUAUUUUUUUAAUAACCACACAUCACAAAUAUUAAAUGAAUUAUUUACUAAUAGAUUUAUUUUUUUAUUUUUUUAUUAUUUGUUUUGCAUAUAUAUCUUUUAAGGGACAGUGACCUACAUUAGACUAUGAGAGAUGUGAGAUGCAAGACUUGAGACAAAGACAAAUUGAGGAAGGUACUAAAUAUAUAACUAAAUUUUAUGUAAAAUUUUUGAACUAUCAUUGGGUUUUGGUGGCACUGGAAACAAGGACUAUGAUUGCAUAUUACCUUGACUCAUUGGAAGACCAACCUUCUAAUGAGCUUAAGGAGAUUGUUAAUAUGUAAGUUUUUCUCUCAAUACAAGAGCAUGAAGCAUAAUUGGUAACAAAUAUUAUUUUCUUCAUGUAGGGCCCUUAGAAUUCAUCCACCACAAAAACAUAAAUCAUCAAAGAGGGAGCCUACUUGGGUUGUAGUAGGGGUGAGUAAUUCAUAUAAAUUAAGUAAUGCAAUUUUUAAUAGCAUUUCUUAAUUUUUAAUCAAGUACAAGAUAUCCUACAACUAACUAUAAAAUUGGUGUAUUCUACAAUGAUUUAUUUUUAUGCAUAAAGUGCCCAAUACAACCAGGCAGUGUUGAAUGUGGAUACUAUGUGAUGAGAUAUAUGAGAGAUAUUAUUGCUGAUUAAGGAUGUCUUACAUCAAAGGUAUGCACCAAUUUAUUAAUUUCCAAUAUAUCAUUUUUACCAUAUUUUUCAAUGUAAUUGAUUAAAUUGUUUACAUUACUCCUUAAUAGUUUCAUGGGAAAAAAUCGUAUAGCAAAGAUGAGUUGAAUGAAGUACGAUCAGAAUGGGUAAUGCUAGUCACUCAGUUGAUACUUUCUUCUGUUUGAAGGCUUUGAAGACACCUUUCUGUAUGGAAAUAGAUCAUACUUUUGCCCAAUCCAACUAUCACCUUUGUUAAGGUUAAUAUUUUAUUUUUUUCUCUUUUGAACCAAACUAUGAUUAAAAGUAAAUUGUUUGAUGGAAUCACAACCAAGUUGAUAACAUUUUCUUUCUAUUGUCAUGAUAUUUCUCUAGUUUCCCAUAACUAAACUAAGUUGUUAAUUGCAUGCAUGACUCACAGGCAUCCAAAAGGAAACUUUUUGAAGCUAAAAGUUGGAAGCUUUUCCAAGUUUCUAAUAGUUCAUGGGCUAUUGCCACAAAAAAGGUUAUUUUCAUAGGGAUAUCAAGUUUAUUAUUUCUUGCUUCCUAUUAAAGAUCUUCUAAUAGGGGAUAUACACUUGGAAUUUUGUCGUUCUCAUGUGAUCAUUUGUUUUCAUUCUCAACUACAGAAUGUUCUUGUUGGUUCAAAGGGAAACAUGAAGAUUUCUAAUUUUGGCCAUGGUGUUAUACCACAACAUUGUAAGUUACAUCGUCACCCUCAUAAAACAUAAAGAUUUCUUCAUAAAAUAAUUUUUUUUGUUUCAUUGCUUAACUUAUUUAUUUUUCAAUGAAUUUAAAACUACAAGAUGAUGGAUUACUAUAUAUUUAUAUACAACCAGUGGAAGUUCAAAUUACAUUGCUUAAUUAACUUCUAAUUAAGUUUUUUCAAGUGUCAAAAAUGUGGUUUGUAGUUUAAUUUUCAUUUCAUUAAAAUUAACAGUUCUAUUUUUAUCUCUUCAACCAAUUUGUAGAUCGGGUAAGUGAUUGAGCGUAGCUCUAGAAACUGCCAGUGAAGUAUCUCUAUGAACAUAAUCCCCUCAUGAUUUGCAGAAAUUUUAAGACUAACAACAUACUCUUAAAGGUAUGGUCUCUACUACUCAUAAAUUACCAUUAUAUUUUGUUCAUUCAGAAAAUUUAUAUUGGUGAUGAAGUUUUUAUUAUUUUACAUCAUUGGCUUGAUAACCAUGCUUUUUAAAUUUAGUAUACAUGAGAAAUAACAAUUAAAAAAAAAUGAAUUCCGGUUUCUCACUUUAUGUGUUUGUAUUAUGGACAUUUUUAAGCUAAAGUUCCUUAAGCUUUACUUUUGUGUAAUGUAUUGCAUGAUAGACUGAUGUUUGAAUCUCUAUUUGGCUUCAUAGAUAACCUGAAUUUAUUGUUAAAUUUUUAUGCAAUCAUAUAUUUGCCAUAUAGUUGUCACUUUAGAUCGCUCACAUAAUUCUAGAUAUUUUCCCAAAUAUGUUUUAUUUUAAAAAAAUAAUCAUAAUCUUUUUAAAUAUGAAAUAUGAGCUUUCAUUAAAAAAUAUUCAUCAGUAGAAGAUGUUUAUCUACUAUUAAGUUGUAGAUAUUCUUCUCUACAUUUUUUUAUGCAUGCCAAUUUAUUUAUUAUUAAGUUCUGGAAUUCAUAUGGUUGUUGCUAGCCUUGAUAGUGAUAAAUAAAAUGAAUGAUAAGUAUGAUACAAUUGACCACUAUUUUGGAUGCAAUGUUGCAACUCAUAUCAUAUGGUGGGAAGUGUUAAUUCUUUUAACUUAACAAAAAACUUAGUUGAUAAAGUAUCAUGGUGUAAACCUUAUUUAUUUCAUGUUACACCAUAUUCCCAAACCUUCAUUUGUCAAUGUUGGACAUUCGACGAGGUCUAUUACUAUUAGAUGAUGCCUAAUUGAAUAUUUUAAUGGACUAUUGAUGUUGAUAUUCUCUUGUCCCAAACUUGGUUUGUUUUUCUAUUUUCUUUUGGGCUAUACUAAAGAUUUAAUGGAUUAUCGAUGUUGAUGUUCUCUUAUCCCGUAUUUGAUUAAUCUCUUGUUUUGUGUUUUAACUAUUGAUAGUAAUUUUGUUGUAAUUAUUCUUAGAGUCACAUAUGUCAAUUGGUAUACACAUUUGAUUUCCUAUUAUAUUUUCAUUGUCUUCUCUCUAUUUCUAGAAGUAUUCACUUAUAUAUAUUUUUUCUAAAAUUGUAAUUGAUUUUAGUUUUUUGUGCAUGUAGGUCAUUUUUUUGGGAAAUUAACCUUGUAGUUGGAUAAGCUAGCAUGAAGGAGUAUGUUGAAGACCAAAGCACAAUUGGGUUGCAUGUAAAGAAAAAAUGGACUAUGUCAAGGGACUAAACAUUAAAGUUAUGACUUUUUUUUUUGUUAUUUUAAUAUAUUUUAGUUUUUUUGGGUUUCUUGUUUAUGAAAUACAAGUUCUCUAUUUGUGAUUAAAUACUGCAAUUUGGAAAUGUAUUACCAGAUGAAAAAUUAGGUGCAACAACUAAUUUCAGCAAUAAAUUUUUUUUCUUAUGUGUAUGCAUUAUUUCAAUAGCAGGUGAAAAAUUAGGUGCAACAAUUAUUAAAUUAAAACUAAACUUAAAAUUAAACAAUUAUCUUUCUUGAUGCUUUUACUAAGUGUCAAGGAAUGAGAGUAACCAUAGUAACAUUUCUACAACCCAAUAAUGGCACUAAUAAAUGUGUCAAUGUAGUGUGAACAACUAACAAUGACACUUUUUUAAGUGUCAAGGUUCUCUUCAAUGACGCUUUCUAGCCGUGUCCUUAUAGUUUGAUAUUUGAAACUACUAAACAAUGACACUUAUAGAAAGUGUCAGGGUUUCUUCUACUCAACAAUGGCGCUUAUAAAAGUGUCAAUGUAGUUUGAUAUAAAUAAUGAUGACAAAUUUUUUAAGCGUCAAGGUUCUCUUCAAUGGCGCUUUCUAAAAGCGUCAUUGUAGGCAAAUACUUAUUAUGACAGGCUAGUAGAUGACGCUUUGGGGAAGCGCCAUUGAAUGUAUUUCUUGACACUUAAAAAGCGUCAUGGUUAAUGUUUUUUCUUAUAGUGACCCCUUCUCUGUCUAAUUCAUCUACCUUACCAAGAGAGAUGGGAUAUAUAUUGAGCUUCUCUUGCCAACUUCAAAUGCAGCUUUUCACCAAAUUUCAUGUUCACUUCCCAUCUCACCCGCUCAAUAAAAGCCCCAAUCCCUUCAAACUCAUCCAGUACAACUAUUCUCCAUUUCUUUACAACAAGUUUAGCCAUUCAAUACCAAAAGAGCCUAGAAGAAAUGAUGAGGAAGCUCCUCAUCUCUUCUUUUCUGCUUCUGCUGUUUUUGUUGCAUCUUUGCAGCAAAACUUCUGCUCAGUCUAGCUCUACAGGUCCCAUUGACAUCAUUGCAGUUCUUGGAAAGGCUGGUAAGUUUACUACCUUCACUGGGCUACUGAAGAGCACACA